AUUGAACGCUGGCGGCAGGCCUAACACAUGCAAGUCGAGCGGAGCGGCGGACGGGUGAGUAAUGCCUAGGAAUCUGCCUGGUAGUGGGGGAUAACGUCCGGAAACGGGCGCUAAUACCGCAUACUAUCAGAUGAGCCUAGGUCGGAUUAGCUAGUUGUGGGGGUAAAGGCCCACCAAGGCGACGAUCCCUAGCUGGUCUGAGAGGAUGACCAGCCACACUGGAACUGAGACACGGGCCAGACUCAUACGGGAGGCAGCAGUGGGGAAUAUUGCACAAUGGGCGAAAGCCGGAUGCAGCCAUGCCGCGUGUAUGAAGAAGGCCUUCGGGUUGUAAAGUACUUUCAGCGGGGAGGCGUUACCAGCAGAAGAAGCACCGGCUAACUCCGUGCCAGCAGCCGCGGUAAUAC
Molecule: ribosomal RNA, 407 nt
Filed under: uncultured bacterium
Lineage: Bacteria
Description: partial 16S ribosomal RNA
Rfam family: Bacterial small subunit ribosomal RNA
Source: RNAcentral